RNAcentral lists this ribosomal RNA (2925 nucleotides) under Staphylococcus aureus. Its description in RNAcentral is "23S ribosomal RNA". It matches the Rfam family "Bacterial large subunit ribosomal RNA". Lineage: Bacteria; Bacillati; Bacillota; Bacilli; Caryophanales; Staphylococcaceae. The record is from RNAcentral.
UUAAGUUAUUAAGGGCGCACGGUGGAUGCCUUGGCACUAGAAGCCGAUGAAGGACGUUACUAAAGACGAUAUGCUUUGGGGAGCUGUAAGUAAGCUUUGAUCCAGAGAUUUCCGAAUGGGGAAACCCAGCAUGAGUUAUGUCAUGUUAUCGAUAUGUGAAUACAUAGCAUAUCAGAAGGCACACCCGGAGAACUGAAACAUCUUAGUACCCGGAGGAAGAGAAAGAAAAUUCGAUUCCCUUAGUAGCGGCGAGCGAAACGGGAAGAGCCCAAACCAACAAGCUUGCUUGUUGGGGUUGUAGGACACUCUGUACGGAGUUACAAAGGACGACAUUAGACGAAUCAUCUGGAAAGAUGAAUCAAAGAAGGUAAUAAUCCUGUAGUCGAAAAUGUUGUCUCUCUUGAGUGGAUCCUGAGUACGACGGAGCACGUGAAAUUCCGUCGGAAUCUGGGAGGACCAUCUCCUAAGGCUAAAUACUCUCUAGUGACCGAUAGUGAACCAGUACCGUGAGGGAAAGGUGAAAAGCACCCCGGAAGGGGAGUGAAAUAGAACCUGAAACCGUGUGCUUACAAGUAGUCAGAGCCCGUUAAUGGGUGAUGGCGUGCCUUUUGUAGAAUGAACCGGCGAGUUACGAUUUGAUGCAAGGUUAAGCAGUAAAUGUGGAGCCGUAGCGAAAGCGAGUCUGAAUAGGGCGUUUAGUAUUUGGUCGUAGACCCGAAACCAGGUGAUCUACCCUUGGUCAGGUUGAAGUUCAGGUAACACUGAAUGGAGGACCGAACCGACUUACGUUGAAAAGUGAGCGGAUGAACUGAGGGUAGCGGAGAAAUUCCAAUCGAACCUGGAGAUAGCUGGUUCUCUCCGAAAUAGCUUUAGGGCUAGCCUCAAGUGAUGAUUAUUGGAGGUAGAGCACUGUUUGGACGAGGGGCCCCUCUCGGGUUACCGAAUUCAGACAAACUCCGAAUGCCAAUUAAUUUAACUUGGGAGUCAGAACAUGGGUGAUAAGGUCCGUGUUCGAAAGGGAAACAGCCCAGACCACCAGCUAAGGUCCCAAAAUAUAUGUUAAGUGGAAAAGGAUGUGGCGUUGCCCAGACAACUAGGAUGUUGGCUUAGAAGCAGCCAUCAUUUAAAGAGUGCGUAAUAGCUCACUAGUCGAGUGACACUGCGCCGAAAAUGUACCGGGGCUAAACAUAUUACCGAAGCUGUGGAUUGUCCUUUGGACAAUGGUAGGAGAGCGUUCUAAGGGCGUUGAAGCAUGAUCGUAAGGACAUGUGGAGCGCUUAGAAGUGAGAAUGCCGGUGUGAGUAGCGAAAGACGGGUGAGAAUCCCGUCCACCGAUUGACUAAGGUUUCCAGAGGAAGGCUCGUCCGCUCUGGGUUAGUCGGGUCCUAAGCUGAGGCCGACAGGCGUAGGCGAUGGAUAACAGGUUGAUAUUCCUGUACCACCUAUAAUCGUUUUAAUCGAUGGGGGGACGCAGUAGGAUAGGCGAAGCGUGCGAUUGGAUUGCACGUCUAAGCAGUAAGGCUGAGUAUUAGGCAAAUCCGGUACUCGUUAAGGCUGAGCUGUGAUGGGGAGAAGACAUUGNNNNNGUCUUCGAGUCGUUGAUUUCACACUGCCGAGAAAAGCCUCUAGAUAGAAAAUAGGUGCCCGUACCGCAAACCGACACAGGUAGUCAAGAUGAGAAUUCUAAGGUGAGCGAGCGAACUCUCGUUAAGGAACUCGGCAAAAUGACCCCGUAACUUCGGGAGAAGGGGUGCUCUUUAGGGUUAACGCCCAGAAGAGCCGCAGUGAAUAGGCCCAAGCGACUGUUUAUCAAAAACACAGGUCUCUGCUAAACCGUAAGGUGAUGUAUAGGGGCUGACGCCUGCCCGGUGCUGGAAGGUUAAGAGGAGUGGUUAGCUUCUGCGAAGCUACGAAUCGAAGCCCCAGUAAACGGCGGCCGUAACUAUAACGGUCCUAAGGUAGCGAAAUUCCUUGUCGGGUAAGUUCCGACCCGCACGAAAGGCGUAACGAUUUGGGCACUGUCUCAACGAGAGACUCGGUGAAAUCAUAGUACCUGUGAAGAUGCAGGUUACCCGCGACAGGACGGAAAGACCCCGUGGAGCUUUACUGUAGCCUGAUAUUGAAAUUCGGCACAGCUUGUACAGGAUAGGUAGGAGCCUUUGAAACGUGAGCGCUAGCUUACGUGGAGGCGCUGGUGGGAUACUACCCUAGCUGUGUUGGCUUUCUAACCCGCACCACUUAUCGUGGUGGGAGACAGUGUCAGGCGGGCAGUUUGACUGGGGCGGUCGCCUCCUAAAAGGUAACGGAGGCGCUCAAAGGUUCCCUCAGAAUGGUUGGAAAUCAUUCAUAGAGUGUAAAGGCAUAAGGGAGCUUGACUGCGAGACCUACAAGUCGAGCAGGGUCGAAAGACGGACUUAGUGAUCCGGUGGUUCCGCAUGGAAGGGCCAUCGCUCAACGGAUAAAAGCUACCCCGGGGAUAACAGGCUUAUCUCCCCCAAGAGUUCACAUCGACGGGGAGGUUUGGCACCUCGAUGUCGGCUCAUCGCAUCCUGGGGCUGUAGUCGGUCCCAAGGGUUGGGCUGUUCGCCCAUUAAAGCGGUACGCGAGCUGGGUUCAGAACGUCGUGAGACAGUUCGGUCCCUAUCCGUCGUGGGCGUAGGAAAUUUGAGAGGAGCUGUCCUUAGUACGAGAGGACCGGGAUGGACAUACCUCUGGUGUACCAGUUGUCGUGCCAACGGCAUAGCUGGGUAGCUAUGUGUGGACGGGAUAAGUGCUGAAAGCAUCUAAGCAUGAAGCCCCCCUCAAGAUGAGAUUUCCCAACUUCGGUUAUAAGAUCCCUCAAAGAUGAUGAGGUUAAUAGGUUCGAGGUGGAAGCAUGGUGACAUGUGGAGCUGACGAAUACUAAUCGAUCGAAGACUUAAUCAA